AGGGUUGUAGCUCAGGUGGUUAGAGCGCACCCCUGAUAAGGGUGAGGUCGGUGGUUCAAGUCCACUCAGGCCUACCA
RNAcentral lists this transfer RNA (77 nucleotides) under Salmonella enterica subsp. enterica serovar Enteritidis. RNAcentral's name for it is "tRNA-Ile". It matches the Rfam family "tRNA". Rfam says of the family: Transfer RNA (tRNA) molecules are approximately 80 nucleotides in length. Their secondary structure includes four short double-helical elements and three loops (D, anti-codon, and T loops). Lineage: Bacteria; Pseudomonadati; Pseudomonadota; Gammaproteobacteria; Enterobacterales; Enterobacteriaceae. The record is from RNAcentral.